GCCCAGACUCCUACGGGAGGCAGCAGUGGGGGAUAUUGCACAAUGGGGGAAACCCUGAUGCAGCGACGCCGCGUGGGCGAAGAAGUAUUUCGGUAUGUAAAGCCCUCUCAGCAGGGAAGAAGAAAUGACGGUACCUGAGUAAGAAGCACCGGCUAAAUACGUGCCAGCAGCCGCGGUAAUACGUAUGGUGCAAGCGUUAUCCGGAUUCACUGGGUGUAAAGGGAGCGUAGACGGCGACGCAAGUCUGGAGUGAAAGCCCGGGGCCCAACCCCGGGACUGCUCUGGAAACUGCGUCGCUGGAGUGCGGGAGGGGCAGGCGGAAUUCCUGGUGUAGCGGUGAAAUGCGUAGAUAUCAGGAGGAACACCGGCGGCGAAGGCGGCCUGCUGGACCGUGACUGACGUUGAGGCUCGAAAGCGUGGGGAGCGAACAGGAUUAGAUACCCCUGUA
RNAcentral lists this ribosomal RNA (448 nucleotides) under uncultured bacterium. RNAcentral's name for it is "bacterial SSU rRNA". It matches the Rfam family "Bacterial small subunit ribosomal RNA", at positions 329 to 792 of the family's 1533-position model. The record is from RNAcentral.